This 494-nucleotide ribosomal RNA is filed under the name uncultured bacterium. RNAcentral describes it as "bacterial SSU rRNA". It matches the Rfam family "Bacterial small subunit ribosomal RNA", at positions 371 to 882 of the family's 1533-position model. The record is from RNAcentral.
AUGGGCGCAAGCCUGAUCCAGCAAUGCCGCGUGUGUGAAGAAGGUCUUCGGAUUGUAAAGCACUUUCGGCGGGGACGAUGAUGACGGUACCCGCAGAAGAAGCCCCGGCUAACUUCGUGCCAGCAGCCGCGGUAAUACGAAGGGGGCUAGCGUUGCUCGGAAUGACUGGGCGUAAAGGGCGCGUAGGCGGAUGGUACAGUCAGGCGUGAAAUUCCUGGGCUCAACCUGGGGGCUGCGUUUGAUACGUAUUGUCUGGAGUUCGGAAGAGGGUCGUGGAAUUCCCAGUGUAGAGGUGAAAUUCGUAGAUAUUGGGAAGAACACCGGUGGCGAAGGCGGCGACCUGGUCCGAUACUGACGCUGAGGCGCGAAAGCGUGGGGAGCAAACAGGAUUAGAUACCCUGGUAGUCCACGCUGUAAACGAUGUGUGCUGGAUGUUGGGUGACAUAGUCACGCAGUGUCGUAGCUAACGCGAUAAGCACACCGCCUGGGGAGUA